Molecule: ribosomal RNA, 121 nt
Filed under: Agelas sp. QMG317484
Lineage: Eukaryota; Metazoa; Porifera; Demospongiae; Agelasida; Agelasidae
Description: partial 28S ribosomal RNA
Rfam family: Eukaryotic large subunit ribosomal RNA (bases 43-121)
Source: RNAcentral
CUUCUGUGUAGGACUUUCUUGAAAGCCCACUUUUGUACAGUUGGACCUCAGAUCAGGCGAGACUACCUGCUGAACUUAAGCAUAUCAAUAAGCGGAGGAAAAGAAACUAACCAGGAAGGGC